GUGGCUUCCUGAGCAUGGCUGCCCAUUGUGGUUAAUCUCGCACACAGGCAGUAAUUGGAAUAUAACAGUGGGAGUGCUGAAUUGAAGCUGCCCUGCGACUACUCUGAGUCUUGGGUAAAAACAACCCUUCCAUGGAAUGCUGUGGGAUCAUGUGCUCUCUGAUAACCUCACACUAUAUAAUAUAAUGAGAAACUGCUGAAAAAACGGCAAGACGACUGAGACGUCAAGUAUGUCCUAUGAAAAGCCCAGGAAAGCAAAACAUAUGAGCUGUCAGGGAAACAUUUCAUGGAGGUCUUCCAUCUUCUGAGAACUUUGGAACGCCCUCUGCUGCUCCUACACCUGGAGAGUCUCCUAGGUUUUCAAGAUACAAAUCAAGUACUGUCCUUGACCUCACUGCUACAGCAGAUGUAUUACUUUUCAGCUUGUGUAUUGCCACUUAUCUCACAUUAAAUUUGUUCUCAUCCUUGACUGAAGUCUGAAGCUUUUAAGGGUAGAUACUGGUGUUUGCUGAUACAUUU
RNAcentral lists this long non-coding RNA (518 nucleotides) under Cavia porcellus (domestic guinea pig). RNAcentral describes it as "lncRNA (ENSCPOG00000039358.1)". The record is from RNAcentral. Lineage: Eukaryota; Metazoa; Chordata; Mammalia; Rodentia; Caviidae.